RNAcentral lists this ribosomal RNA (472 nucleotides) under uncultured bacterium. RNAcentral describes it as "SSU rRNA". It matches the Rfam family "Bacterial small subunit ribosomal RNA", at positions 26 to 518 of the family's 1533-position model. The record is from RNAcentral.
AGGACGAACGCUGGCGGCGUGCUUAACACAUGCAAGUCGAGCGGAAAGGCCCUUCGGGGUACUCGAGCGGCGAACGGGUGAGUAACACGUGAGCAACCUGCCCCUGGCUCUGGGAUAGCCUCCGGAAACGGGGAUUAAUACCGGACAUUCACUUCCUUCCGCAUGGUUGGUGGUGGAAAGUUUUUUCGGCCGGGGAGGGGCUCGCGGCCUAUCAGCUUGUUGGCGGGGUAACGGCCCACCAAGGCGACGACGGGUAGCCGGCCUGAGAGGGCGACCGGCCACACUGGGACUGAGACACGGCCCAGACUCCUACGGGAGGCAGCAGUGGGGAAUAUUGCGCAAUGGGCGGAAGCCUGACGCAGCGACGCCGCGUGGGGGAUGAAGGCCUUCGGGUUGUAAACCCCUUUCACCAGGAGCGAAUCCAGACGGUACCUGGGGAAGAAGCGCCGGCUAACUACGUGCCAGCAGCCGC